CCCGGAUGUUGCCACUUAUCAUCAUUUGGUAGAUCUUCAAUUUGACCGCCUUCAUCUCAGCCAUUGAGGGAUCCUAUAUAUAGGGUCACUCUCAGCCAAAUUUUCACUUUUCACUGCUUUUACUACUGGGACUCUGCCAGAUUGUUACCCCAAUGCUCAAGGUUAUCGCUCCCAACCUUCAGGUCAACUUCAUCUUUCUUUUGAGUCUUUUCCUCUUUCCUC
Molecule: long non-coding RNA, 222 nt
Filed under: Elaeis guineensis (African oil palm)
Lineage: Eukaryota; Viridiplantae; Streptophyta; Magnoliopsida; Arecales; Arecaceae
Description: long non-coding RNA (EGUI_LNC073086)
Source: RNAcentral